RNAcentral lists this ribosomal RNA (752 nucleotides) under uncultured marine bacterium. RNAcentral describes it as "bacterial SSU rRNA". It matches the Rfam family "Bacterial small subunit ribosomal RNA", at positions 46 to 847 of the family's 1533-position model. The record is from RNAcentral.
GCCUAAUACUGCAAGUCGAACGGAGUAGCAAUACUUAGUGGCAGACGGGUGAGUAACAUGUGGGUAUCUUCCCUUUGGUGAGGAAUAACACGAGGAAACUUGUGCUAAUACCUCAUAAGUCUUUACGGAGAAAGCUUUAUGCGCCAAUGGAUGAGCCUGCACUUGAUUAGUUUGUUGGUAGGGUAAUGGCCUACCAAGACUGUGAUCAAUAGCUGAUUUGAGAGGAUGAUCAGCCACAUUGGGACUGAGACACGGCCCAAACUCCUACGGGAGGCAGCAGUAGGGAAUCUUGCACAAUGGAGGAAACUCUGAUGCAGCGAUGCCGCGUGAGUGAAGAAGGCCCUUGGGUUGUAAAGCUCUUUCGUCGGGGAAGAAAAUGACUGUACCCGAAUAAGAAGGUCCGGCUAACUUCGUGCCAGCAGCCGCGGUAAUACGAAGGGACCUAGCGUAGUUCGGAAUUACUGGGCUUAAAGAGUUCGUAGGUGGUUAAAAAAGUUGGUGGUGAAAGCCCAGAGCUUAACUCUGGAACUGCCAUCAAAACUUUUUAGCUAGAGUUUGAUAGAGGAAAGCAGAAUUUCUAGUGUAGAGGUGAAAUUCGUAGAUAUUAGAAAGAAUACCAAUUGCGAAGGCAGCUUUCUGGAUCAUUACUGACACUGAGGAACGAAAGCAUGGGUAGCGAAGAGGAUUAGAUACCCUCGUAGUCCAUGCCGUAAACGAUGUGUGUUAGAUGUUGGAAAUUUAUUUUCAGUAUC